AUUGAACGCUGGCGGAAUGCUUUACACAUGCAAGUCGAGCGGCAGCGCGGGGCAACCUGGCGGCGAGCGGCGAACGGGUGAGUAAUGCAUCGGAACGUACCCAGUCGUGGGGGAUAACUGUCCGAAAGGACAGCUAAUACCGCAUACGUCCUGAGGGAGAAAGCGGGGGAUCGCAAGACCUCGCGCGAUUGGAGCGGCCGAUGCCGGAUUAGCUAGUUGGUAGGGUAAAGGCCUACCAAGGCGACGAUCCGUAGCUGGUCUGAGAGGACGACCAGCCACACUGGAACUGAGACACGGUCCAGACUCCUACGGGAGGCAGCAGUCGGGAAUAUUGGACAAUGGGCGCAAGCCUGAUCCAGCAAUACCGCGUGUGUGAAGAAGGCCUGCGGGUUGUAAAGCACUUUCAGUGGGGAAGAUAAUGACGUUACCCACAGAAGAAGCACCGGCUAACUCCGUG
Molecule: ribosomal RNA, 457 nt
Filed under: uncultured bacterium
Lineage: Bacteria
Description: bacterial SSU rRNA
Rfam family: Bacterial small subunit ribosomal RNA
Source: RNAcentral